CCAGAGUUGACCGACGAUGUGAAGGAGAAGAAUGCUACUCUAUAAUCGGUACAGUCCUCUUUCUGAAAGCGCUCUGCCCAGCUUAGCGCAUGGAAGGGCGAGUCGUUCUGUUAGGGUAGGGGUCACGCCCUAGAAAGGUCUGAGGCAACGAGAUCAACUGCUGACCCAAGAAGGUAGGGAAGAGACGAGGAAGGGCUAAUCCCCGAGUCAGGGGCAUCUAUCUUUAUUUACGCAAAGCAAAGCUAUUUAUUGAUGUCGAUUUAGAUAUGUUCAUUGGCCUGCGACUGAUCUCAUCGUCUGUUUUCCCCAAGUUGUUCUGUUAGGGUAGGGGUCACGCCCUAGAAAGGUCUAAGGCAACAACAUCAACUGCUGACCCAAGAAGGUAGGGAAGAGACGAGGAAGGGCUAAUCCCCGAGUCAGGGGCAUCUAUCUUUAUUUACGCAAAGCAAAGCUAUUUAUUGAUGUCGAUUUAGAUAUGUUCAUUGGCCUGCGACUGAUCUCAUCGUCUGUUUUCCCCCUCUUU
RNAcentral lists this long non-coding RNA (523 nucleotides) under Nicotiana benthamiana. Its description in RNAcentral is "long non-coding RNA (NBEN_LNC004334)". Lineage: Eukaryota; Viridiplantae; Streptophyta; Magnoliopsida; Solanales; Solanaceae. The record is from RNAcentral.